UUUGACUCUCCUCUUCCAUUUAAGUAAUUGAUCUUGAAAGUAAAUAAAGAUACAUAAGACACUUUUUGGAAUGUGCCCCAUCCUUUUUAUACAUAUUUGAAAGAAUUAUAACAUUACAUUAUUUAUCAACUAAAUAUAAUAACCUCCCUCCCUCCCUCCCUCCCUAUUCCCGAGUUUGAUUUCUGUGUAGAACAAUUUUUUAGUCGGUCUUUAAAUGUCUCUCAGCCGAACAUCGAAUUACUAGUGUAGUGCCCCUUCUCGUAGAUAAAUAGACAAUUCAUAGCCUAUUUUGAUUGACUUGUUUAAGUUUACAUCUGGAGAGCCAUGAACACUUACACACUUGUAAGAUUGAUUGAGAUAACUUAUUAUUAUUGAAACAACUUAGGACAAGUUGAUAAAUUAAUUUCAGCUUAUAUUCAUACGUUUUCUCAGAUAGUUUUCGAAAACAACUUAUUUUCAUCUUAAGUUAUAAUCACUUAAUUAAAGCUGAAAAUUCUCUUAAAGCAAAAAAAAGCUUAAAUUGGACAGAGUAAACUCGUAUGGCCAAAGUAGUUAAAGAAAACAAAU
Molecule: long non-coding RNA, 567 nt
Filed under: Medicago truncatula (barrel medic)
Lineage: Eukaryota; Viridiplantae; Streptophyta; Magnoliopsida; Fabales; Fabaceae
Description: long non-coding RNA (MTRU_LNC006663)
Source: RNAcentral